Long non-coding RNA from Nerophis lumbriciformis (worm pipefish), 1256 nucleotides. RefSeq lists it as uncharacterized. NCBI's taxonomy places the organism in Eukaryota, Metazoa, Chordata, Actinopteri, Syngnathiformes, Syngnathidae. The record is from RefSeq and is a predicted model, not a curated record.
AUCGGACACCUCGGUCUCCUUGGACGCACCCUCGCUCAUCCAUGCGGACUGGACACUGGCCGAGAGUUGGUGGACGGCCGAGGGUGGAGUCGGCUCUCUUGGUUGCUUUGUUGGGUCUGCUCCUAUCUCUGGCCCAGUCGAUGAUGGGGUGGAACACCGCUGAGGCCACCACAGUGUAUAUGUUUUUGUUGUUGUUGUUGUUGUUUUACUUUUGUGGCUGUGUGUAGAAAUGGCUGGUUGCAUCAGCGCUGCUCUUUUAAUGUCUUUAAUGUCCUUUGUGUUCUUUGACGUUUCCCUCUUACACACGUUUGUGUGCUAUGGCUAUGAGAUUUUUUUCCCCUUGGCCUUUGUCUGGACCCCCUCUCCAGGGGUCCAGGCUUAGACUUUACCUGUUUCUCACCCUUUUUGUAAGGGGCGCCGGAAGUUUGCAGACCCGUCAGCGAUCCUGUUCUGUCUCCCUGUAAAUGUUUGUCUGAUCUUGAAUGGGAUUGUGCUGAAAAUCUUAAUUUCCCCUCAGGGAUUAAUAAAGUAUUUCUAAUUCUAACUCUAAUAGGAAGAUGACGAAAAAGCCAAGGGUGACAAAACUAACUAGCAUGUUUUUCAUAAAGCAAUGAAGCAACCCACAAAGCUGAUGGAGUGGCCAACAAAGCUUCUAAUAUGGAGAUGAAGCAACUCCUUCAAUGACUUUCCUAACAUCUUCUUUUCUGGCAUAAAUAACAGAUCAAUAACCACAUUCAUGUUACCAACCUCAGCGUUUUAAAGACGUGGCGGAGUCACGUUUUAUGAGCUUGUGAUUAGUGUUUUUAUUGGCGGUCUGCAGAUGGUUAGUGUAAACUUGUCUCACUGAGGCUCUCUUGUAGGCAACACUGACUCAGAGAGCACUCUGUCACCCCUCAGGGACUGAAGACAGACGCACAGCGCCCUCUUCUGGCUCACCCCUGUUCCUACACCCCCACCAAAGCACAACAUGAGGCCUGGAAACACACAUUCUGUGCUUUGACUCGACUUCGCGGGAGAACGCUGAGGUGAGCCGCAAGUCUCCGACGUUUCCUCUCCGUCCCACAGCGGAGGAUGGCGGCUUCUGGCAAGGCUGGUGCGUGUCGUGCCAUGAGCCGGCCUGUGGAAGGAGUUGCAUGAAUUCCAGGAGGGUGCAUGUCUCGCAGAACAUGUCCCGCAACGAACGUCUAUCCACAGCGUGAAGGCGCUUCUGAGAGACUAAUCCUCACGACCAUGGCGGAAAAUAAGUAACGUUUCUU